RNAcentral lists this ribosomal RNA (499 nucleotides) under uncultured Sphingobacteriales bacterium. Its description in RNAcentral is "bacterial SSU rRNA". It matches the Rfam family "Bacterial small subunit ribosomal RNA", at positions 903 to 1382 of the family's 1533-position model. The record is from RNAcentral. Lineage: Bacteria; Pseudomonadati; Bacteroidota; Sphingobacteriia; Sphingobacteriales.
UUGCCAGCCCGCUCAGAAACUUAAAGGAAUUGACGGGGCCCGCACAAGCGGAGGAGCAUGUGGUUUAAUUCGAUGAUACGCGAGGAACCUUACCUGGGCUCGAACGUAAGAUGACUGUAGGUGAAAGCUUACAUCUCUUCGGAGCAUUUUACGAGGUGCUGCAUGGUUGUCGUCAGCUCGUGCCGUGAGGUGUCGGGUUAAGUCCCAUAACGAGCGCAACCCUACCUUUAGUUGCCAUCAGGUAAUGCUGGGGACUCUAAAGGAACUGCCUACGCAAGUAGUGAGGAAGGCGGGGAUGACGUCAAAUCAGCACGGCCCUUACGUCCAGGGCUACACACGUGCUACAAUGGCCGAUACAGAGGGCAGCUACCUGGUGACAGGAUGCAAAUCUCCAAAGUCGGUCUCAGUUCGGAUCGGAGUCUGCAACCCGACUCCGUGAAGUUGGAUUCGCUAGUAAUCGCGCAUCAGCCAUGGCGCGGUGAAUACGUUCCCGGGCCUU